Molecule: ribosomal RNA, 371 nt
Filed under: uncultured prokaryote
Description: partial 16S ribosomal RNA
Source: RNAcentral
CCUUUGAGCUGGACCUAAACGACUCUUGGGUCUGGGAUACUCAGACUCCGGAUGACUAUACAGUAGCCGCCAACCGUGCAGGCAAGGACUUCUACAUAUAUGCUUGCAUUCCAGGCAGCGGGUUCUCUCCUAUACUGGUUCUGAGUGCCGCGGCCACCUACCCAUACGGCUACACCGUGGAUACUAGCCGCAAAAUAGGCGGUUUCCAUUGCGAAUGUGCAGAUGUGGGCACGAUCUCCGGCCACCCCCUCACAGGUUACCUGGCAGGAGAUAUCAUCCCCAGGUCUUGCUGGGAUCUGUCGCACAGAUCUGCAGGUGCGCAGGUGGGCAUGGUCUGGGCUGGUAAGACGGACUUCGAUACCCUUGUAGUC